Molecule: ribosomal RNA, 492 nt
Filed under: uncultured bacterium
Lineage: Bacteria
Description: partial 16S ribosomal RNA
Rfam family: Bacterial small subunit ribosomal RNA
Source: RNAcentral
AGUGAACGCUGGCGGUAGGCCUAACACAUGCAAGUCGAACGGCAGCACCGUCAUUGCUUGCUCUUACGGGUGGCGAGUGGCGGACGGGGGAGGAAUACCUCGGAAUCUACUUUUUCGCGGGUGAGAACGUAGCGUGACUUACGCUAAUACCUCAUACGUACUACGGCUGAAUGCAGCGGGUCUUCGGACCCUGCGCGCUUGUGUGUGGCGAUGUCGGAGCAGCUAGUUGGCGGGGUAGAGGCCCACCAAGGCGACGAUCCGGAGCCGGUCAGAGAGGAUGAUCAGCCACACUGGAACUGAGACACGGUCCAGACUCCUACGGGAGGCAGCAGUGGGGAAUAUUGGACAAUGGGCGCAAGCCUGAUCCAGCCAUACCGCGUGGGUGAAGAAGGCCUUCGGGUUGUAAAGCCCUUUUGUUGGGAAAGAAAAGCAGCAGGUUAAUACCCCGCUGUCCUGACGGUACCCAAAGAAUAAGCACCGGCUAACUUCGUG